GACGAACGCUGGCGGCGUGCUUAACACAUGCAAGUCGAGCGGUAAGGCCCUUUCAGGGGUACACGAGCGGCGAACGGGUGAGUAACACGUGGGUGACCUGCCCUCAGCUCUGGGAUAAGCCUGGGAAACCGGGUCUAAUACUGGAUAUGACUCCAUGACGCAUGUUGUGGGGUGGAAAGCCUUGUGCGGCUGAGGAUGGGCCCGCGGCCUAUCAGCUUGUUGGUGGGGUGAUGGCCUACCAAGGCGACGACGGGUAGCCGGCCUGAGAGGGCGACCGGCCACACUGGGACUGAGACACGGCCCAGACUCCUACGGGAGGCAGCAGUGGGGAAUCUUGCGCAAUGGGCGAAAGCCUGACGCAGCGACGCCGCGUGA
RNAcentral lists this ribosomal RNA (375 nucleotides) under uncultured bacterium. RNAcentral's name for it is "bacterial SSU rRNA". It matches the Rfam family "Bacterial small subunit ribosomal RNA", at positions 28 to 404 of the family's 1533-position model. The record is from RNAcentral.